AUUGAACGCUGGCGGCAUGCCUUACACAUGCAAGUCGAACGGCAGCGGACCUUCGGGUGCCGGCGAGUGGCGAACGGGUGAGUAAUAUAUCGGAACGUACCUUUCAGUGGGGGAUAACGUAGCGAAAGUUACGCUAAUACCGCAUAUUCUGUGAGCAGGAAAGCAGGGGAUCGCAAGACCUUGCGCUGAUUGAGCGGCCGAUAUCAGAUUAGCUAGUUGGUGAGGUAAAGGCUCACCAAGGCGACGAUCUGUAGCGGGUCUGAGAGGAUGAUCCGCCACACUGGAACUGAGACACGGUCCAGACUCCUACGGGAGGCAGCAGUGGGGAAUUUUGGACAAUGGGCGCAAGCCUGAUCCAGCCAUGCCGCGUGAGUGAGGAAGGCC
This 384-nucleotide ribosomal RNA is filed under the name uncultured bacterium. RNAcentral describes it as "bacterial SSU rRNA". It matches the Rfam family "Bacterial small subunit ribosomal RNA", at positions 30 to 416 of the family's 1533-position model. The record is from RNAcentral.